This 284-nucleotide transfer-messenger RNA is filed under the name Pelagibacteraceae bacterium TMED65. It matches the Rfam family "Alphaproteobacteria transfer-messenger RNA". From Rfam's summary of the family: Bacterial tmRNA, also known as 10Sa RNA or SsrA, is named for its dual tRNA and mRNA-like properties. Its role is to liberate the mRNA from a stalled ribosome. The record is from RNAcentral. Lineage: Bacteria; Pseudomonadati; Pseudomonadota; Alphaproteobacteria; Candidatus Pelagibacterales; Candidatus Pelagibacteraceae. RNAcentral also lists the same sequence under 1 other name.
GGUUUUAUUUUUUUAAUCAUUCAUUAUUAUAAAAAUGCUGAUUUCAGCUAUGGCAAUAAACGUUUGAUUUUGAGCCGAGGCGGACCCGGGGGCGGUACCCGGCGCCUCCACCAUAUGGGGGCGAAAUAGGAUCGACGCGCGUGUGAAUAAUCAAAAACUUUGCCCGGAAUGGUACCAACGUUAUCGGACCAAACUUAUAAAUGCCAACGAUAAUGAAAUGGCACUCGCUGCUUAAUUAAUUAAGAAAGCGCGGUAGUGAGCACCGGGCAACAGAAGUCUCAUCG